Molecule: ribosomal RNA, 400 nt
Filed under: uncultured eukaryote
Lineage: Eukaryota
Description: SSU rRNA
Rfam family: Eukaryotic small subunit ribosomal RNA
Source: RNAcentral
CCAGCUCCUGCGGUAAUUCCAGCUCCAAUAGCGUAUAUUUAAGUUGCUGCAGUUAAAAAGCUCGUAGUUGGAUUUCGGGUGGGGCCUGCCGGUCCGCCGUUUCGGUGUGCACUGGCCGGGCCCACCUUGGUGCCGGGGACGGGCUCCUGGGCUUGACUGUCCGGGACCCGGAGUCGGCGAGGUUACUUUGAGUAAAUUAGAGUGUUCAAAGCAAGCGUUCGCUAUGAAUACAUUAGCAUGGAAUAACAUGAUAGGACUCUGGCUUAUCUUGUUGGUCUGUAAGACCGGAGUAAUGAUUAAGAGGGACAGUCGGGGGCAUUCGUAUUUCAUUGUCAGAGGUGAAAUUCUUGGAUUUAUGAAAGACGAACUUCUGCGAAAGCAUUUGCCAAGGAUGUUUUCA